UGCAAGUCGAACGCACAGCGAAAGGUGCUUGCACCUUUCAAGUGAGUGGCGAACGGGUGAGUAACACGUGGACAACCUGCCUCAAGGCUGGGGAUAACAUUUGGAAACAGAUGCUAAUACCGAAUAAAACUUAGUGUCGCAUGACACAAAGUUAAAAGGCGCUUCGGCGUCACCUAGAGAUGGAUCCGCGGUGCAUUAGUUAGUUGGUGGGGUAAAGGCCUACCAAGACAAUGAUGCAUAGCCGAGUUGAGAGACUGAUCGGCCACAUUGGGACUGAGACACGGCCCAAACUCCUACGGGAGGCUGCAGUAGGGAAUCUUCCACAAUGGGCGAAAGCCUGAUGGAGCAACGCCGCGUGUGUGAUGAAGGCUUUCGGGUCGUAAAGCACUGUUGUAUGGGAAGAACAGCUAGAAUAGGAAAUGAUUUUAGUUUGACGGUACCAUACCAGAAAGGGACGGCUAAAUACGUGCCAGCAGCCGCGGUAAUACGUAUGUCCCGAGCGUUAUCCGGAUUUAUUGGGCGUAAAGCGAGCGCAGACGGUUUAUUAAGUCUGAUGUGAAAGCCCGGAGCUCAACUCCGGAAUGGCAUUGGAAACUGGUUAACUUGAGUGCAGUAGAGGUAAGUGGAACUCCAUGUGUAGCGGUGGAAUGCGUAGAUAUAUGGAAGAACACCAGUGGCGAAGGCGGCUUACUGGACUGCAACUGACGUUGAGGCUCGAAAGUGUGGGUAGCAAACAGGAUUAGAUACCCUGGUAGUCCACACCGUAAACGAUGAACACUAGGUGUUAGGAGGUUUCCGCCUCUUAGUGCCGAAGCUAACGCAUUAAGUGUUCCGCCUGGGGAGUACGACCGCAAGGUUGAAACUCAAAGGAAUUGACGGGGACCCGCACAAGCGGUGGAGCAUGUGGUUUUAAUUCGAAGCAACGCGAAGAACCUUACCAGGUCUUGACAUCCUUUUGAAGCUUUUUAGAGAUAGAAGUGUUCUCUUCGGAGACAAAGUGACAGGUGGUGCAUGGUCGUAAACAGCUCGUGUCGUGAGAUGUUGGGUUAAGUCCCGCAACGAGCGCAACCCUUAUUGUUAGUUGCCAGCAUUCAGAUGGGCACUCUAGCGAGACUGCCGGUGACAAACCGGAGGAAGGCGGGGACGACGUCAGAUCAUCAUGCCCCUUAUGACCUGGGCUACACACGUGCUACAAUGGCGUAUACAACGAGUUGCCAACCCGCGAGGGUGAGCUAAUCUCUUAAAGUACGUCUCAGUUCGGAUUGUAGUCUGCAACUCGACUACAUGAAGUCGGAAUCGCUAGUAAUCGCGGAUCAGCACGCCGCGGUGAAUACGUUCCCGGGUCUUGUACACACCGCCCGUCACACCAUGGGAGUUUGUAAUGCCCAAAGCCGGUGGCCUAACCUUUUAGGAAGGAGC
Molecule: ribosomal RNA, 1419 nt
Filed under: bacterium 110(2011)
Lineage: Bacteria
Description: 16S ribosomal RNA
Rfam family: Bacterial small subunit ribosomal RNA
Source: RNAcentral